CACUAAAAUUAUCACAUCAACGAACAAACAAACUGAAACAAACAAAUGGAAAUACGCAAACUUCUUGUAUUUUAAAUUUACUUGCACACUGUGCAAAUUUAAUCUGCUGAAGCUUAUAUUCUAGACUGACCAAAAUUUUCGGCGGCAAAAAAGUAGAAAUGGGUCAAGGGACUACUCUACCAAGUCCUUGAGUGCUUGGAAGGCCUUGAGUGAAUUGUCCCAUAAGGUAAAACUGUAUGUUAUGCAGUAAAAUUUAACUAUGUGAAGCCCAAGAUAUGUCUUGUAUGAUUGGUUUUGAAUAACAUGUUCCUCAUUUUAACAUUGACACGAUAACAUCAUUAAUUUUAACACUAGAUAUAGUCAUAUUUGUCUAGUGACCAGCCACUUUCCAUGUUCAGUAUCAUUUCAAGUUACAAAACCUGGAAGAAACAUGAUACAGAUAAUAAUAAUCUUUUUAUUAGAUUACAUGCACGUGUUUGGGAAGAUAAAUUCAUCUAAUGUUCAGAAAAUUAAAAUAGAUUUAAACCUAACACUUGUUUAACAAUUAAUGAUGCAUUAUUCCCCUAGGUUUAGUCACCAACAAUUGGCUAAUGAAUCAAACAGAUUUCAUUUGAUUAAAUACAGCCAUUAUAGAUCUUUACAGAUGUCAUGUAGAAGAGUUGUUGAGAUAUACGUAAAUAGACGAAAAUCUUGUCAGCUAGACUGAAUUUAUCUUUUGGAAUCGUGAGUCCCAUCGCCAUCCCGUACUCUCAAAUACAAACAAUUGAAUUCA
Long non-coding RNA from Daphnia carinata, 772 nucleotides. RefSeq lists it as uncharacterized. Lineage: Eukaryota; Metazoa; Arthropoda; Branchiopoda; Diplostraca; Daphniidae. The record is from RefSeq and is a predicted model, not a curated record. The transcript has 3 exons.